This 96-nucleotide ribosomal RNA is filed under the name Acanthosepion pharaonis. The record is from RNAcentral. Lineage: Eukaryota; Metazoa; Mollusca; Cephalopoda; Sepiida; Sepiidae.
GUUGAAACACCAGUUCCCGUACGAUCAUCGAAGUUAAGCAACGUCGAGCCUGAAAGUACCUAGAUGGGUGACCCUUGGGGGAAAACCAGGUACAGU